ACGCUCGACACCUACGGAGGCAGCAGUGAGGGAUAUUGGUCAAUGGGGGAAACCCUGAACCAGCAACGCCGCGUGAGGGAUGACGGCCUGGUUGUAACCUCUGUCCUCUGUGAAGAUAAUGACGGUAGCAGAGGAGGAAGCUCCGGCUAACUACGUGCCAACAGCCGCGGUAAUCUGAGCGGGCGUGGCGAAGGC
This 195-nucleotide ribosomal RNA is filed under the name uncultured bacterium. RNAcentral's name for it is "partial 16S ribosomal RNA". It matches the Rfam family "Bacterial small subunit ribosomal RNA", at positions 328 to 538 of the family's 1533-position model. The record is from RNAcentral.